UAGAGUUUGAUCCUGGCUCAGAUUGAACGCUGGCGGCGUGGCUAAAGCAUGCAAGUCGAGCGCACCCGCAAGGGUGAGCGGCGAAAGGGUCAGUAACACGAUCGAACGUGCCCCGAGGUGGGGGAUAGCGGCGGGAAACUGCCGGUAAUACCCCAUGAUCUCUCCGGAGCAAAGGUUUACCGCCUUGGGAUCGGCGAUCGUCCUAUCAGCUUGUUGGCGGGGUAACGGCCCACCAAGGCGAUGACGGGUAGCAGGUGUGAGAGCGCGACCUGCGACAUCGGAACUGAGACACUGUCCGGACUCCUACGGGAGGCUGCAGCGACGAAUCUUCCGCAAUGGGCGCAAGCCUGACGGAGCGACGCCGCGUGUGGGAUGAAGCGCCUUCGGCGUGUAAACCACUGUCAGGGGGCAGAACCAAUGAUCGCCCCCAGAGGAAGAGGCGGCUAACCCUGUGCCAGCAGCCGCGGUAAGACAGGGGCCUCGAGCGUUAAUCGGAAUUACUGGGCUUAAAGGGUGCGUAGGCGGGCCUGCAAGUGCUUUGUGAAAUCCCCCGGCUCAACCGGGGAACUGCGGGGCAUACUGCGGGUCUUGAGGAAGGUAGGCGCCGAGGGAACAGUAGGUGGAGCGGUGAAAUGCGUAGAUAUCUACUGGAACGCCGAUGGUGAAGAC
This 669-nucleotide ribosomal RNA is filed under the name uncultured soil bacterium. RNAcentral's name for it is "bacterial SSU rRNA". It matches the Rfam family "Bacterial small subunit ribosomal RNA", at positions 1 to 722 of the family's 1533-position model. The record is from RNAcentral.